CAGUGUACCAGUUAUACAAAAUGGUAUGAGUAAUGCUUCACUCGUUCAAUAUGGUGCUGCUGUUCGGUUUACAUGUGAGCAUACAUACUUUCUGUGGGGGAAUUCAUCAGCUACGUGCAACGGUGAUGGUACAUUGAGCUCAGUGCCGAUAUGUUAUAGGCUGACGGGCGAAAGAGGUUGCGGGACAACAAUGACCAUAACAAAAACCACUGACCGCCGAUUGAGUUACACUUCAGGGAAAGCACUGUGCAGCCGUCACAAUGGCACAAUUCUCUCUGAAGCAUCGUUCCAGGAUGGAUGCGCAAAUGGCUUGACAGACGCUGUCAGAGUGGCGUGGAGAGGAUUACCUGACAAGAAUAUCACAGCGUUGACUACAUUUGGUAUCAGAGUAGACCUGUCUCGCCAUUUCCUCGUAGUGUGCGAAUUUCCAUGCCUUCCUCGACGAAGUGAUCAAAUGGAGUCUAAACCAAUGGCUAGUGAUAUCUCUUGUCGAUAUGAUGAGCUGAUUGGCAACAGAAUUUGCAGAGCAUCUGGUAGCAUAACUAGAAUAUCAACUCCUGGCCUCAAAUUGAAUUACACUUCUGCUCAAGCACUGUGUAGCAGGCACAAUGGUACAAUCCUCUCUGAAGCGUCGUUCCACGCUUUGUGCUCGGUUGGUUUAACCAGCAUACACGCCAUUGCAUGGAGAGGAUUGCCAAAAGGAAAUGUAGCACGUAACUCCAACGGCCAAGAAAGUGGCCUAGCGCAGCUUUUGCG
Molecule: long non-coding RNA, 756 nt
Organism: Sycon ciliatum
Lineage: Eukaryota; Metazoa; Porifera; Calcarea; Leucosolenida; Sycettidae
Exons: 4
Source: RefSeq, a predicted model, not a curated record